GUAAUGCCGGUGGGUUUCGUGACUUC
Molecule: small RNA, 26 nt
Filed under: Bombyx mori (domestic silkworm)
Lineage: Eukaryota; Metazoa; Arthropoda; Insecta; Lepidoptera; Bombycidae
Description: ovarian small RNA-17617
Source: RNAcentral